RNAcentral lists this ribosomal RNA (253 nucleotides) under uncultured bacterium. RNAcentral describes it as "partial 16S ribosomal RNA". It matches the Rfam family "Bacterial small subunit ribosomal RNA", at positions 524 to 776 of the family's 1533-position model. The record is from RNAcentral.
UACAGAGGGUGCGAGCGUUAAUCGGAAUUACUGGGCGUAAAGCGUGCGUAGACGGUUAUUUAAGUCGGGUGUGAAAGCCCCGGGCUCAACCUGGGAAUUGCAUUCGAGACUGAAUAGCUAGGGUACGGUAGAGGGAAGCGGAAUUUCCGGUGUAGCGGUGAAAUGCGUAGAUAUCGUUUGGAACGCCAAUGGUGAAAACAGCUAGCUGGGGAUGUGCCGACGCUGAGACACGAAAGCCAGGGGAGCGAACGGG